RNAcentral lists this ribosomal RNA (176 nucleotides) under uncultured bacterium. Its description in RNAcentral is "partial 16S ribosomal RNA". It matches the Rfam family "Bacterial small subunit ribosomal RNA", at positions 1326 to 1500 of the family's 1533-position model. The record is from RNAcentral.
CUGGAAUCGCUAGUAAUCGCGGAUCAGAAUGCCGCGGUGAAUACGUUCCCAGGUCUUGUACACACCGCCCGUCACACCAUGGGAGUCGGAAAUGCCCGAAGCCGGUGACCUAACCUUUCAGGAAGGAGCCGUCGAAGGCAGGUCUGAUAACUGGGGUGAAGUCGUAACAAGGUAGC